RNAcentral lists this ribosomal RNA (492 nucleotides) under uncultured bacterium. RNAcentral's name for it is "partial 16S ribosomal RNA". It matches the Rfam family "Bacterial small subunit ribosomal RNA", at positions 29 to 507 of the family's 1533-position model. The record is from RNAcentral.
AGUGAACGCUGGCGGUAGGCCUAACACAUGCAAGUCGAACGGCAGCACAGUAAGAGCUUGCUCUUACGGGUGGCGAGUGGCGGACGGGUGAGGAAUACAUCGGAAUCUACUUUUUCGUGGGGGAUAACGUAGGGAAACUUACGCUAAUACCGCAUACGACCUACGGGUGAAAGCAGGGGAUCUUCGGACCUUGCGCGAUUGAAUGAGCCGAUGUCGGAUUAGCUAGUUGGCGGGGUAAAGGCCCACCAAGGCGACGAUCCGUAGCUGGUCUGAGAGGAUGAUCAGCCACACUGGAACUGAGACACGGUCCAGACUCCUACGGGAGGCAGCAGUGGGGAAUAUUGGACAAAGGGCGCAAGCCUGAUCCAGCCAUACCGCGUGGGUGAAGAAGGCCUUCGGGUUGUAAAGCCCUUUUGUUGGGAAAGAAAAGCAGCUGGUUAAUACCCCGCUGUUCUGACGGUACCCAAAGAAUAAGCACCGGCUAACUUCGUG